Molecule: non-coding RNA, 899 nt
Filed under: Batrachoseps attenuatus (California slender salamander)
Lineage: Eukaryota; Metazoa; Chordata; Amphibia; Caudata; Plethodontidae
Source: RNAcentral
AAAGGCUUGGUCCUAGCCUUAAUAUUAAUUUAAAUUAUGAUUAUACAUGCAAGCCUCAACACCCCAGUGAGAAUUCCCAUUAUUACCACAAAGCAAUAACGGAGAAGGUAUCAGGCACCAAUAGCCCAAAACACCUUGCUAAGCCACACCUCUACAGGAAAUCAGCAGUAAUAAACAUUGAAUAUAAGUGUAAACUUGAUUCAGCAAUAAUUUUUAGAGCCGGUAAAUCUCGUGCCAGCCACCGCGGUUAUACGAAAGACUCAAAUUAAUAUGUGCGGCCCAAAGAGUAGUUAUAGAAAACAAGUAGGGAUAAGAACUAUCUAAGCUGUUAUACGCAUAAUAUAGUCAAAAUAAAAUUACCCUAGUAUACUUGAAGCUACCACAGCCAUGAGACAAACUGGGAUUAGAUACCCCACUAUGCCCGGCCAUAAACUUAGGAACACCCGCCAGAGCACUACGAGCCACAGCUUAAAAUUCAAAGGACUUGGCGGUGCCAUACAACCAUCUAGAGGAGCCUGUUCUAUAAUCGAUAAUCCCCGAUAAACCUCACCACCCCUUGCCAAUACAGCCUAUAUACCACCGUCUUUAGCUCACCCUUCAAAUGAUAAAUAGUAAGCAAAAGUAUUUAAAAUAAAAAAGUCAGGUCAAGGUGUAACACAUGGGAUGGGAAGAAAUGGGCUACAUUUUCUAAAUAGAAAAUACGAAAUAUUUUAUGAAAUAAGAUAUGAAGGAGGAUUUAAUAGUAAAAAUAAAAAAGAGUGUUAUUUUUAAAUAGGCAAUAUGGCGCGCACACACCGCCCGUCACCCUCUUCAAACAACACUAAAUUAAAUAAAAUAUUACUUUACAAGAAGAGGUAAGUCGUAACAUGGUAAGACUACCGGAAGGUGAUCUUGGACAU